CUGAACUGUCAACACGAGUUGUUGCUGGCCCUCAAAUGGGGACAUGUGCACGCUCUGUUUACACAUCCACUCACACCUGUGCACCCUCUGUAGUUCUAUGGCGUGGGGGGCCCUGCCCUCCUGCUGUGGUUCUAUGUCUUUACACACACGCCGUAACAAAGUCUCAAUGGAAUGCAUGACGCGUUUAACGCAAUACAAUA
Molecule: unclassified non-coding RNA, 200 nt
Filed under: uncultured Tomentella
Lineage: Eukaryota; Fungi; Basidiomycota; Agaricomycetes; Thelephorales; Thelephoraceae
Description: sequence contains ITS1
Source: RNAcentral